RNAcentral lists this ribosomal RNA (459 nucleotides) under uncultured bacterium. Its description in RNAcentral is "partial 16S ribosomal RNA". It matches the Rfam family "Bacterial small subunit ribosomal RNA", at positions 338 to 795 of the family's 1533-position model. The record is from RNAcentral.
CCUACGGGAGGCAGCAGUGAGGAAUAUUGGUCAAUGGACGAGAGUCUGAACCAGCCAAGUCGCGUGAAGGAUGACUGCCCUAUGGGUUGUACACUUCUUUUAUAAAGGAGUAAAACGAGGCACGUGUGCCUUUUUGCAUGUACUUUAUGAAUAAGGAUCGGCUAACUCCGUGCCAGCAGCCGCGGUAAUACGGAGGAUGAGAGCGUUAUCCGGAUUUAUUGGGUUUAAAGGGUGCGUAGGCGGGCUGUUAAGUCAGCGGUAAAAAUUCGGGGCUCAACCCCGUCCGGUCGUUGAAACUGGGGGCCUUGAGUGGGCGAGAAGAAGGCGGAAUGCGUGGUGUAGCGGUGAAAUGCAUAGAUAUCACGCAGAACCCCGAUUGCGAAGGCAGCCUUCCGGCGCCCUACUGACGCUGAGGCACGAAAGUGCGGGGAUCGAACAGGAUUAGAUACCCGUGUAGUC